UCGCCCGCCCCGGCCCCGCGCCCGUCCCGCCGCCCCCGCCCUCCUACGGGGAGGCAGCAGUGGGGAAUAUUGCACAAUGGGCGAAAGCCUGAUGCAGCAACGCCGCGUGAGGGAUGACGGCCUUCGGGUUGUAAACCUCUUUUAGCAGGGAAGAAGCGAAAGUGACGGUACCUGCAGAAAAAGCGCCGGCUAACUACGUGCCAGCAGCCGCGGUAAUACGUAGGGCGCAAGCGUUAUCCGGAAUUAUUGGGCGUAAAGAGCUCGUAGGCGGUUUGUCGCGUCUGCUGUGAAAUCCCGAGGCUCAACCUCGGGCCUGCAGUGGGUACGGGCAGACUAGAGUGCGGUAGGGGAGAUUGGAAUUCCUGGUGUAGCGGUGGAAUGCGCAGAUAUCAGGAGGAACACCGAUGGCGAAGGCAGAUCUCUGGGCCGUAACUGACGCUGAGGAGCGAAAGGGUGGGGAGCAAACAGGCUUAGAUACCCUGGUAGUCCACCCCGUAAACGUUGGGAACUAGUUGUGGGGACCAUUGCACGGUUUCCGUGGCGCCAGCGCGCGCGUCCCGUCGCCCGCCUCGACCUAACGAAGAUUGG
RNAcentral lists this ribosomal RNA (588 nucleotides) under uncultured Microbacterium sp. Its description in RNAcentral is "bacterial SSU rRNA". It matches the Rfam family "Bacterial small subunit ribosomal RNA", at positions 304 to 873 of the family's 1533-position model. Lineage: Bacteria; Bacillati; Actinomycetota; Actinomycetes; Micrococcales; Microbacteriaceae. The record is from RNAcentral.